This 69-nucleotide transfer RNA is filed under the name Rattus norvegicus (Norway rat). It matches the Rfam family "tRNA". From Rfam's summary of the family: Transfer RNA (tRNA) molecules are approximately 80 nucleotides in length. The record is from Rfam by way of RNAcentral. Lineage: Eukaryota; Metazoa; Chordata; Mammalia; Rodentia; Muridae.
GGGGAUUUAGCUCAGUGGUAGAGCACUUGCCUUGCAAGCACAAGGCCCUGGGUUCGGUCCUCAGCUCUG